UACGGAGGGUGCAAGCGUUAAUCGGAAUUACUGGGCGUAAAGCGUGCGCAGGCGGUCUGUUAAGACCGAUGUGAAAUCCCCGGGCUUAACCUGGGAACUGCAUUGGUGACUGGCAGGCUUUGAGUGUGGCAGAGGGAGGUAGAAUUCCACGUGUAGCAGUGAAAUGCGUAGAGAUGUGGAGGAAUACCGAUGGCGAAGGCAGCCUCCUGGGCCAACACUGGACGCUCAUGCACGAAAGCGUGGGGAGCAAACAGG
RNAcentral lists this ribosomal RNA (255 nucleotides) under uncultured bacterium. RNAcentral's name for it is "partial 16S ribosomal RNA". It matches the Rfam family "Bacterial small subunit ribosomal RNA", at positions 524 to 776 of the family's 1533-position model. The record is from RNAcentral.